RNAcentral lists this ribosomal RNA (709 nucleotides) under Nannaria sp. n. 4401. Its description in RNAcentral is "partial large subunit ribosomal RNA". The record is from RNAcentral. Lineage: Eukaryota; Metazoa; Arthropoda; Diplopoda; Polydesmida; Xystodesmidae.
GCUAUAGUUAUGAAAUAUUAUUCAAGUUGUUUGGUAUCUGGUUCUCUAAAAGAUUUAAUUGGUUGUAGUUUUAUUUGGUCAAUAAGUAGGGAUUAGCUUAUUUAUUGUUUAUAUACAUUUAUAAGGUAGAUUUGUUUGUGAAGUUGAUAGUGCUUUUUUGUAAGGAGUUAUUAUGAGACAGGGGUUUUAUAUUAUUGUUUUAAAGUUGUGUAACUAUUGGGGUUGGCUAGAUAAUUUUUUCUUUUGCGAAAUAAUGAUUAUAUUAGUAAUAUUUUAUUUAUUUUUAUAAGUGAAAUUAAGGGAGUUUGGUAGUGAUUGAAUUAAUUUUUAAUUAGGGAGGAUGAAUUCGGCAAGUUAGUUUUUGACUGUUUAGCAAAAACAUUGUUUUUUGUAGGAGUAAAAAAUAAGUUCUGUCCACUGCUAUUAGGUGAAGGGCUGCAGUAUUUUGACUGUAUGAAGGUAGCAUAAUCAUUAGCUUUUUAAUUGGGGGCUGGUAUGAAGGUGAAACAGGGAUUGUCUGUGUUUUCUUUAUUUAUUGAAUUUUAUUUCUGUGUGAAAAAUCGUGGUUAAAUUAGAGGGACAAGAAGACCCUAAUAAGUUUUAUUUUUUUGCUUAAUGAUAAUAUAGGCGUAUAUUAAUUUGAUUGAAGUGAGGGGGUUUGGCUGGGGCGGCUAUUUAUUUAACAUAAGUAAUUUUUUAACUUUAUUUG